UCGAGCGCAGGAAUCGACGGAACCCUUCGGGGGGAAGUCGACGGAAUGAGCGGCGGACGGGUGAGUAACACGUAAAGAACCUGCCCUCAGGUCUGGGAUAACCACGAGAAAUCGGGGCUAAUACCGGAUGGGUCAUCGGACCGCAUGGUCCGAGGAUGAAAGGCGCUUCGGCGUCGCCUGGGGAUGGCUUUGCGGUGCAUUAGCUAGUUGGUGGGGUAAUGGCCCACCAAGGCGACGAUGCAUAGCCGACCUGAGAGGGUGAUCGGCCACACUGGGACUGAGACACGGCCCAGACUCCUACGGGAGGCAGCAGUAGGGAAUCUUCCACAAUGGACGAAAGUCUGAUGGAGCAACGCCGCGUGAACGAUGAAGGCCUUCGGGUCGUAAAGUUCUGUUGUAAGGGAAGAACAAGUGCCGCAGGCAAUGGCGGCACCUUGACGGUACCUUGCGAGAAAGCCACGGCUAACUACGUGCCAGCAGCCGCGGUAAUACGUAGGUGGCAAGCGUUGUCCGGAAUUAUUGGGCGUAAAGCGCGCGCAGGCGGCCUCUUAAGUCUGAUGUGAAAGCCCCCGGCUCAACCGGGGAGGGCCAUUGGAAACUGGGAGGCUUGAGUAUAGGAGAGAAGAGUGGAAUUCCACGUGUAGCGGUGAAAUGCGUANAGAUGUGGAGGAACACCAGUGGCGAAGGCGACUCUUUGGCCUAUAACUGACGCUGAGGCGCGAA
RNAcentral lists this ribosomal RNA (723 nucleotides) under Exiguobacterium mexicanum. Its description in RNAcentral is "bacterial SSU rRNA". It matches the Rfam family "Bacterial small subunit ribosomal RNA", at positions 62 to 757 of the family's 1533-position model. The record is from RNAcentral. Lineage: Bacteria; Bacillati; Bacillota; Bacilli; Caryophanales.